AACAUACCUAAACGUUGCUUCGGCGGGAAUAGACGGCCCCGUAAAACGGGCCGCCCCCGCCAGAGGACCCCUAACUCUGUUUCUAUAAUGUUUCUUCUGAGUAAAACAAGCAAAUAAAUUAAAACUUUCAACAACGGAUCUCUUGGCUCUGGCAUCGAUGAAGAACGCAGCGAAAUGCGAUAAGUAAUGUGAAUUGCAGAAUUCAGUGAAUCAUCGAAUCUUUGAACGCACAUUGCGCCCGCCAGUAUUCUGGCGGGCAUGCCUGUUCGAGCGUCAUUACAACCCUCAGGCCCCCGGGCCUGGCGUUGGGGAUCGGCGGAGCCCCCCGCGGGCACACGCCGUCCCCCAAAUACAGUGGCGGUCCCGCCGCAGCUUCCAUCGCGUAGUAGCUAACACCUCGCGACUGGAGAGCGGCGCGGCCACGCCGUAAAACACCCAACUCUUCUGAA
This 449-nucleotide unclassified non-coding RNA is filed under the name Fusarium solani. RNAcentral's name for it is "sequence contains 18S rRNA gene, ITS1, 5.8S rRNA gene, ITS2, 28S rRNA gene". The stretch from base 123 to 276 matches the Rfam family "5.8S ribosomal RNA". Lineage: Eukaryota; Fungi; Ascomycota; Sordariomycetes; Hypocreales; Nectriaceae. The record is from RNAcentral.